UGUAGCUUAUUAGCUGCAUAUUGACGUAGCGUCAGAAGAAGCAACGUCUACUGCGUGCAGCAGCCGCGGUAAUACGGCGGUGCGAGCGUUAAUCGGAAUACUGGGCGUAAAGCGCAUGCAGGUGGUUUGUUAAGUCAGAUGUGAUAAGCCGGGGCUCAACCUCGGAAUUGCAUUUGAAACUGGCAGACUAGAGUACUGUAGAGGGGGGUAGAAUUUCAGGUGUAGCGGUGAAAUGCGUAGAGAUCUGAAGGAAUACCGGUGGCGAAGGCGGCCCCCUGGACAGAUACUGACACUCAGAUGCGAAAGCGUGGGGAGCAAACAGGAUUAGAUACCCUGGUAGUACACGCCGUAAACGAUGUCUACUUGGAGGUUGUGGCCUUGAGCCGUGGCUUUCGGAGCUAACGCGUUAAGUAGACCGCCUGGGGAGUACGGUCGCAAGAUUAAAACUCAAAUGAAUUGACGGGGGCCCGCACAAGCGGUGGAGCAUGUGGUUUAAUUCGAUGCAACGCGAAGAACCUUACCUACUCUUGACAUCCAGAGAACUUUCCAGAGAUGGAUUGGUGCCUUCGGGAACUCUGAGACAGGUGCUGCAUGGCUGUCGUCAGCUCGUGUUGUGAAAUGUUGGGUUAAGUCCCGCAACGAGCGCAACCCUUAUCCUUGUUUGCCAGCGAGUAAUGUCGGGAACUCCAGGGAGACUGCCGGUGAUAAACCGGAGGAAGGUGGGGACGACGUCAAGUCAUCAUGGCCCUUACGAGUAGGGCUACACACGUGCUACAAUGGCGCAUACAGAGGGCAGCCAACUUGCGAAAGUGAGCGAAUCCCAAAAAGUGCGUCGUAGUCCGGAUUGGAGUCUGCAACUCGACUCCAUGAAGUCGGAAUCGCUAGUAAUCGUGGAUCAGAAUGCCACGGUGAAUACGUUCCCGGGCCUUGUACACACCGCCCGUCACACCAUGGGAGUGGGCUGCAAAAGAAGUAGGUAGUUUAACCUUCGGGGAGACGC
RNAcentral lists this ribosomal RNA (1000 nucleotides) under Vibrio alginolyticus. RNAcentral's name for it is "bacterial SSU rRNA". It matches the Rfam family "Bacterial small subunit ribosomal RNA", at positions 450 to 1453 of the family's 1533-position model. RNAcentral also lists the same sequence under 1 other name. The record is from RNAcentral. Lineage: Bacteria; Pseudomonadati; Pseudomonadota; Gammaproteobacteria; Vibrionales; Vibrionaceae.